This 606-nucleotide ribosomal RNA is filed under the name Zygaena occitanica huescacola. RNAcentral describes it as "partial 12S ribosomal RNA". The record is from RNAcentral. Lineage: Eukaryota; Metazoa; Arthropoda; Insecta; Lepidoptera; Zygaenidae.
UGCGGUUAUACAAAAAUUAAAUUAAUUUUUUUUGGGAUUUAAUAAAUAAAAUGUUAUAUAUAACUUAAAUUUUAAAUUAUAAAGUGAAAUUUUAAUUUAGUUAAAAUUUAUUUAUUUUUAUGAUAUUAAUAAAUUUUAUAAAAAACUAGGAUUAGAUACCCUAUUAUAAAAAUUUAAAUUUAAUAAAUCUUAAAAUAGUAUAUAAUUUUUUAUAGAAACUUAAAUAAUUUGGCGGUAUUUUAGUUCAUUUAGAGGAAUCUGUCUAAUAAUUGAUAAUCCACGAUUAAAUUUACUUAAUUUUAUAAUUUUGUAUAUCGUUGUUAAAAAAAUAUUUUUUAAUAAAUAUAAUAUUUUAAAAUUUAUAUAAAAAAUUAAAUCAGAUCAAGAUGCAGAUUAUAAUUAAGAAUAUGAUGGAUUACAAUAAAUUUUAUUUUAUUUGGAUAUUAAUUUGAAAGAAAUUAAUUGAAAUUGGAUUUAAAUGUAAUUUUAUUAAUUUUUUUAAAAUGAUUUUAAAUUAAAAUAUGUACAUAUUGCCCGUCGCUUUCAUUAAUAAAUUGAAAUAAGUCGUAACAAAGUAGAGGUACUGGAAAGUGUUUCUAGAAAGAU